CUGUGAACUGGACUUGCUGUGUGAGGGUCUGUGCCUGCCUGAAGCAGCUUGGAGCAUUGUCUCCCAAAGAGAAGGACUCUCAAGCAAUUGUAUAUAAAUUCGACUUGAGGUGUCAAGGUGGUGAAAUAGAAGCAAAUGAGCAGCAAGUGCAUUUGCAGCAACAAAGCAGCACAUAAAUGGCAAGGCAGACCACAUUUUAAUAAGUCCCUUGGAGUAUUGGCCUGUUAUGUGGGAUAGCAAGCAAUGAAAAAGACGAAGAUCCUGCAGAUAUAUACACAGCAUUUAUUUGAGGACGUCUCUAAGUCAUGUUCAUUUGGGGUUUUUUUGCAGGAGAGUAUACCUGGAUUACAGGCUUCUGGUUGUCAGAAUGGAAUAACACUACUUGCACAUUGUUUAGAUUUUACAAAGCAAAACAUAUUAUAUUCAGUGCUUUAGAAGGAUUCACGUUCAGUAUAAUAUGGAAGGAGACCAUGAUACUCUGAUGAACCAUUUAUUGAUGAGUGAGUCCCAUUUCACUUUGCCUAAUUUGUGAAACUGCUGAUAAAUUAGCAAAAUGACUUUUUUGACACUUGUUACUUUUGGAUGCCACUGUUACAUCUUUUUAUGAAACCACAACAUUCUUGACGUGCGACUUUUUUUCCACGGUGCAUCCAUGCCUGGUGAAAAAAUGUUCUCAUCACUAAUCAGUAAAACAAAUGUGCCCACAAGUAAACAUUAAAGAUAAAGAGAUUUGGCACAGGAUAUUUGUUUUUGGAAUUUUCUGCAGAGAGACUUCAGAAACAUUUGUCUGAUUUUUUAAUCACUAUAAGACAAAUACAUGGUUUUUAGAGUAGAUUCAAAAAAGAUGGGUAUAUGACUAACAUAAAUGUAUUUACUUUACUUUUUUAAAAUAUGCCAUAUGGGAAUUAAAUUUUAAUGUUUGAAAUAAA
Molecule: long non-coding RNA, 929 nt
Organism: Xenopus tropicalis (tropical clawed frog)
Lineage: Eukaryota; Metazoa; Chordata; Amphibia; Anura; Pipidae
Exons: 5
Source: RefSeq, a predicted model, not a curated record